AGGUCGGAGCGCGGGCAGCGGCGGGAGCGUAAACCUCAGAGGCUCUUGGGCGUUCAUGGUGUUGCUUUUCUAGCUCUCUCCCGCUUGCUCGCUUCUGCCCGACCGCCCCGCGCGCAACCUGCUACCUGCAGAGCCAAGGUGCUCGGGUCCGGGGACUGAGUUCUCGGAGUUUUGCGGCAAAGUUCCGGCUGCUGUUUGCGGAGAUGCCUGGAAGGAGGUCUCGUAGGAACACUCAGACGAACCCUACGCGGGUGGCCCUCCCGCCAGAUCCUGAAGUCGAGUGUGCCAUUCAGUUCAGAAGGAUUGGAGACAAACUGAACUUCCGGCAGAAACUUCUGAAUCUGAUAGCCAAACUCUUCCGCCUAGGAACCUGACUUCAGAAGCUUGUGAAUGAGGAGACUCCUUUAAAAUGGAAGAUUCCCCAGUAGGUGCAGAUUUCAUCAGUUAGAGGAGAGAAUGCCUUGUAAUGGAGAAGAAUGUGAAGGAGCUCUCACUUGCUUUCGGAUGCCCUAGGAAUCGAAGACGGAUAGGUCAAAAAUGAGUUUCUGCUGAAGGUUUUCCAGAAGUCGAUGUUUCGGAUGCAAGAACAUUAAAAAAUGACUUUGUUAAUUUUGAAGCAGGAAUGGGAGAGUUAUGAAAAUAGGGGAGUUAUUAUUUAUACAUUUGGUUUUUGCUUUAGAGUCUUGUUCUAGUCUUUUUGCUGAAGGUUGCUGCCCAGCUUGGUGUAAAAGGAGUUGCCAAAUGAUUAGCUUAUGGGCAAGGGUCAAGAAACAGAAUAUGUUCAAUGUUUGUUUCUGCUUUUGUAUGGCAGCUCCAGAGCAAUGUGUAGUAUUUAGUUUAUAUAUAUUAUCUUGUUAAAAGUAAGGAUUUUUUUCAUGAGAACACUGAAUGUCAUAAUGAAUGUUGAUUGCAUAGGUCACUACAAAAUAUAAUUUGCUAGGUUUUUUUUUGACUCAAAAUGUAUUGUUUCUGUGCCGAUGACCUUUUAUUAAAUGUGUUCUUAUGGGAAUUAACUAGGAAGUUAUAUAUUUUGAAAAAAUUUGAUAGAAGUGUUACUUGGUAUCAGUAAAAUUCUUUCAGUUUGAAUAUUAAAAAGAUAAAGAGCAUGGGGAUUUUGUAUAACCAAGAAUAAUGAAAAAAAGUGACAGUUUUUUUUAUUGCUGUAAUAUAAACUUAGUAAAACAAAUAUUUAUUAGUAAAAUAAAUAUAACUUAGUAAGAAAAUGAAUGUGUUUCUAAAGAAGUUUCUAAAAUCUGUCGAGCAUCCUUUCUCAUACUAGUUGGUAUGCAUUGUAUAAGGGUGAUCUUUCAAGAGAAAUUAAGCAUGUUUUCAUAAUUGGGAUAUAUAUAUGAACAGAUGACUUGUCCAGAAUGAAAAUCUUUUAAUGUCUAAAAAUUCCUAUGAUAUCCAUCCAUCCAUAUAUAUACAUAUAUAUUAGAGUAUACAUUAUGUGCUAUGUAUGUAGCAUUACAGUAAUCUGUACAUUCUAAGUUUUAUGAACUCUGUUUUUUUGUUAUUAUUAAAAGGCCAGGCUAUCAACGAAGUCCCCAAACAUAUAAAAAAAGAAUGUCAUGAUGAAAUUUCAAUAGGAAUAACUUUAUUUAUGUUACAUAUUUAUAAUUAAAAUAUUUUCUGUUUAGUUUAAAAAUGUGUAUUUAGUUAAAGUUGAAUUUUUGGCUUAUGAGGCAAGGGCUUCAUAACUACUUUAACUCUUACAAUAAGAAUGUUUUAAUAUAGGCUAUAGUCACUUUAGAUGAAAAAUUACCUCAGCAUCUGUUUUUCUUCAGUAUUACUUAAAGCUGUUAGUUUAUUUAGUUACAAAGAUUUUUUUUUUGUUUGUUUUUUGGUUUGCCUAGAGGCCGCUAUUUUGCCAUGUGAAUAUUUAUGAUCUAACUAUUUAUGCAUAUAUACAUAUGAAUGAUACUGUAGCUGUGAACUAUUAAAAAUCAACACCAUUUUUUCUGUUUGUUUUCUUCAUAAUGUAAACUACCGAGUGUUCAUUAUGAAACCAAAAUAUUCUAACUGAUUUCCAUCAGCAGGUACCUUUUGACCAAACCUUCUUCUCCAGUUCUGUGGUGGGAGUGGGAAAUAUAGGGGCAUUUGGCAUGAUUUCUGCUAUCAAGGGACUUAGACUUUAAUUAGGAAAGGAAGUAGUGAAAAAUUGGAAAUGAAUGCCAGGCAUAGGUAUUGAAUGCUGCUGAGGCCCUCACACUGAUGCCCGGAGAGAUGUAUUUAAAGUAGCCUAAAAAAAAACAGAAACAAAAAACUAAAACUGUUAAAUGCAUAUUGCUAAGUGAAAGAGCUACAUACUGUGUAAUUCCAACUACAUGACACUGGAAAAGAAAAACUAUGGAGACAGUAAAAGGAUUGGUGGUUGUCAGGGACUCUGAGGGAGGGAGGGGAGGGAUGAAUAGAAACCAGGAGUUUUAGAGCAGUGAAAUCAUUCAGUAUGAUAUUGUAAUAGUUGACACUUGCCAUUGCGUAUUGUCAAAACCCACAGAACUUAGAAAGAAAGAACCCCAAUGUCAACUAUGGGCUUUAAUUACUAAUAAUGUAUCAAUAUCGGCUCAUUGUAACAAAUAUACCACACUGAUGGAAAUGAUAGGGUGUAUGGGAACUCUGUGAUUUCUGCUUACUUUUCUGUAAACCUAAGACUGCUCAACAAAUAAAGUCAGUUAAAAAAAAAAAAAA
This 2691-nucleotide long non-coding RNA is filed under the name Sus scrofa (pig). RNAcentral's name for it is "lncRNA (ENSSSCG00030063282.1, ENSSSCG00040064369.1)". The record is from RNAcentral. Lineage: Eukaryota; Metazoa; Chordata; Mammalia; Artiodactyla; Suidae.